RNAcentral lists this ribosomal RNA (186 nucleotides) under uncultured bacterium. Its description in RNAcentral is "partial 16S ribosomal RNA". It matches the Rfam family "Bacterial small subunit ribosomal RNA", at positions 1300 to 1500 of the family's 1533-position model. The record is from RNAcentral.
GUAGGCUGAAACUCGCCUACAUGAAGCUGGAAUUGCUAGUAAUCACAGGUCAGCAUACUGUGGUGAAUACGUUCCCGGGCCUUGUACACACCGCCCGUCACACCAUGAGAGUUGAGAAUACCCGAAGCCCAUGUCAAAGUGGUCGAAGGUAGGCUUGAUGAUUGGGUGAAGUCGUAACAAGGUAAC